RNAcentral lists this ribosomal RNA (464 nucleotides) under Veillonella sp. oral taxon H19. RNAcentral's name for it is "bacterial SSU rRNA". It matches the Rfam family "Bacterial small subunit ribosomal RNA", at positions 28 to 472 of the family's 1533-position model. The record is from RNAcentral. Lineage: Bacteria; Bacillati; Bacillota; Negativicutes; Veillonellales; Veillonellaceae.
GACGAACGAACGCGGCGUGCUUAACACAUGCAAGUCGAACGAAGAGAGAUGGAAGCUUGCUGCUAUGGAUAUUAGUGGCGAACGGGUGAGUAACGCGUAAUCAACCUGCCCUUCAGAGGGGGACAACAGUUUGAAACGACUGUUAAUACCGCAUACGAUCCAAUCUGGGCAUCUAGACUGGAUGAAAGGUGGCCUCUAUUAAUAAGCUAUCACCGAAGGAGGGGAUUGCGUCUGAUUAGCUAGUUGGAGGGGUAACGGCCCACCAAGGCGAUGAUCAGUAGCCGGUCUGAGAGGAUGAACGGCCACAUUGGGACUGAGACACGGCCCAGACUCCUACGGGAGGCAGCAGUGGGGAAUCUUCCGCAAUGGGCGAAAGCCUGACGGAGCAACGCCGCGUGAGUGAAGACGGCCUUCGGGUUGUAAAGCUCUGUUAAUCGGGACGAACGGUUGCUAGUGCGAAUAGC